Long non-coding RNA from Acinonyx jubatus (cheetah), 1894 nucleotides. RefSeq lists it as uncharacterized. The record is from RefSeq and is a predicted model, not a curated record. The transcript is spliced from 5 exons. Lineage: Eukaryota; Metazoa; Chordata; Mammalia; Carnivora; Felidae.
UCCUGUGGAAGUCAAGCUAUGAAGCACUUUGUAGUCCUCAAACUAAGCAGGCGGAGGAGAGACUUCUGGUGUUUGUCUGGAGGGCUGUUGGCCCAGUUGGGCGGGGUUUAGUGUAAUGGCUCUGUUCUCCACUAGAUGGCGCCGCUUAGCGUACUGGGGUAGAUUGUUGCAGCGCGUGUAGGCGUGUCUGCGCAUGCGCGGGAGGGGUGAAAAUGGCGUCUCCCAGAUACCCGAUCUCCAGUAUUGGAACUCUGUGCUCUCCCUGACCGGCAAUCAAAUACCCCUCCUUUUUUGCUGGUUUCCAUCUACUCCCCGCUUUGAGACUGUCCGUGACCAGGCCGUCAGGCUGCUAGGCAGCGCCUGUCUCCUGAGUUUCAUCUCAGAUGCGGCUGUGUUUCCCGACCCCUCACUUCUGAGGGACUGUGGCUUUGACCCGCUCAGAUCCUCUGGGAAAGGGUCUCACUGAGCAAUGGCCGGUGCUGGCGGCACCCAGGAACGUUCGCUGGACUGUGCUGCUGCCGGUGCUCUGAGACUGCGGCCGGGUGCCAGCCGGCCCCAGAAAAAGUUUGCGAGAUAGUGUAGCAGCAGCGUUUCAGGGAUUAUGGAAAAUCACAGCACACAUCUGGCGCCAGGCUUCACCCUUAACGUCCUUGUUCCAGCACCAGUGAAUGUCCUCGUUCUCCGCGGUCCACUGGGAGACGUCGUCCAGCAGGGGAACCACCACAUCCUGUGUGGCCUGCGGACCCCUUGGACCAUGCUCUCUGCUCCUGGAGAUUCACCCUUCUCACCAGAGCAAUGCCAGAGAGGAGACCUUUCUGUGCAAGUUGGACAUGUUGAUUGGGAAGCAGGAAAGAGAAAGACAGAGAUGCCAAGAAAAAUGUGCUAUUUUAACGUCAAGCAACACAAAAGAAGCAUAGGGUUAUUUCCAGCCUAAAGUUGGAGGCUACAUUUGGAACAGAGCUCUAAGAUACCAGAUGCUUAACUCAAUCUUCUUUUCUCAAUUGAGGUUUAAGACCUCAGUGGAGGAAGUUACUACAGAUUUGGUGGAAAUAGCAAGAGAACUGGAAUCAGAAGUGAUCUGAAGAUGUAACUGAAUUGCUGCAAUCUCAUGAUAAAACUUGAAUGGAUGAGGAGUUACUUCUUACGGAUGAGCAAAAAAAGUGGUUUAUUGAGAUGAAAUCUUCUGGUGAAGAUGCUGUGGAGACUGUUAUUAUGACAACAAAACAUUUAAAAUAUUAUAUAAACUUGGUUGAUAAAACAACAUCAAGGUUUGAGAGGAAUGACUCCAAUUUUGACAGAAGUUCUACUCAGGGUGAAAUACUAUCAAACAGUGUUAAUGAAAGGAAAAGUCAUUUGAUGCUGCAAAUUUUGUUGUCUAAUGUUAAGAAGUUGCCACAACCACCCUAACCUUCAACAAUCACCAACCACCCAGAUUAGUCAGCAGCCAUCAACACUGAGUGGCCUGGAACUGAGCCCACAAAAUUUCCAAGGUAUAUGUCUGCUCCUACCCUGCAAAUAAAGAAGCAAACCAAAACAAGCAACAAGAAUAAAAUAAUGAGGUUUUAACCCCUAGUCCUUUAGCACUGUUUCUGACACACUUUAAAUCAAGCAAAUAAAUGCAAGAAUGCAUGAACAAAUGAAUGAAUGAUCAAUUUGCCAAGGGGAAAGUAUACAACAUUAUGGAUAAUAAAAGAGAUGAAAUGGAAAGAAAAAUGUUUGAGUUAGAUGCUGAUAUCAUGGAGGAAGUUGAUGAAAUAUCCUGAAGGUGUUUAUGAAAAUGAUCUGGAUGAUGCAGGCAAGAUAGUGUAAGUGAUCAUCAUGGGUUUUAAUAAGUAGAGUCUCUUGAGAGAUGAUAAAUAAAGAAUAGCCUGCCAGUGACAGCAUUCAUUUGUUC